UUUGGUGUUCAGGCCCUUUCAUAUUAUUGGUGUUCUUCGUUUUGGUGACUCCUAGUUGUAAUUUGUUUACUUCCUUAUUUAGUGAUCACCUGUCUUAGAGAUGUUGCUGCUAAUCAAAGCUGAUGUUGGGAACCGUGGGCUAUGCUGCCAGUUGAGGAUAUCCAGUAUUCAGAUUCUGGCUAUAAGCCUCUCUCCUCCUAAGGAUUAGGCAUUGCCCUGCUUCUCCAAUUUUGGUGGUUUUUCUGUCUUAUGUGAAGCUUGGGGGUUUUGGCAGCCUAGGGAUUGAACCCAGAGCCUCACGCCUGCUGGGCAAGUGCUCCAUCACUGACUGUGCCCCAGCACUUCCCUGCUUACUCUGUGGGCUGGGUCAGACAUCAUUUUUGCCCUGCAGUUGGGAAUAGGGCACACUUAGCUAUUUUGAAUCAGCUUCCUCAUCCUGCAGUCCGCACCCCAGGUAACUUCCUCCUUUGUAUCGGUUUAUUUUGGGUUCCAACCCACUCUUCCUCUUUAGCAAUCUUUGCCUGUUUUGAAUUAUGAUUUUAUAUUGUUUUCUUGGUGUAUAGCUCUGAUCCUGCUGGCUAUUUUUCUGGCGUUCAUUCAAAUUUUUAUUCUAUUGCUAGCCCCUCUUUCAACAUGGAACAAAAACUUAUAAAUUUUCCUUAUUUUCUUUAAAAGAAUUAGAGUUGAAGCGCCUCCUGGGAUGAUCCUGUAGUUAUAGCACGUAAUGUACAAUUAGACAUUCACAGAAAGUAUUACUUUACAAGCAUUUGUUGAAACAUCAGUUCUCUGCUUCCUAGUAUAGAAGUUUUGUGACAGACUUAUCAGGGCUGAAAACUAAUUUCUAGGGGUCAUGAAAAAGUAGUGACAACCAAUAUUAUUUGCAUUAGAAAAAUAACAGAUUAGGAUCAACAGAGAUACCUUUAAAAAUGAGUCAGCUGUCUAGGAGAAAAAGCAGAUACAGCACUGCCUGUAGCUGCCUCAUUUUAGAAGUUCUCUUGAACCAAGAGUCCUGUGCCUACUUGUGCCUUUCCUGAAGGGGCAAAAAGUCUACAGAGUGAGUGGGAUUCCCCACUUGGAACCAAGUUGUUCCCUUUUACAUUAUGUUCAGGGUAUUGGGUCUCUGAAUUUCCUGUCUAUAAACAGCUCAGCUUUGGGGGCUUAUGGGAUUUCUUCCCCAGAUCCACAUCUACCACAUUCACACAAAUGAAGAGAGGCGAAGGGCUGCCUGUUUGCAGGGAUACGAACAAAAUUAGGCAUAGACCGGAGAACCCACCGGCGUCUCUGUGAGGCACCCCGAGCGUGGAGCUGGCGGUGGAAGAGGAAGGCAGUGGCUGCGGACUGACUCUGUGCUGGUCGCCAUCUUCUGGCACAGAAUUCUGAGGAGACUAAAGAAGGAGAAGGCUGAAUGGGUAGCUGAGAGGCCAUAAGGGAGCUCUGUGCAGUUGUAGGUUUAAUUCUUACAACUGCCUUGAGAAGUAACAGAAGAGGAAAUUGGCUUAGCGAGGUAAGGGAAUUUACCCAAAUAGUCAAGUUUCAACAUACAUUGUCUCCAAGGCCAAGGCUCUCAACUAGAAACCCCAGGACCACUCUCUUUUGGAAGGGUUAAUCUACCAACCAAACAUUAAGAUUUAGGUGAGUUGGUUUCCUCUCAGUUACAAAUCCAACUAAAGCACAGCAUCAUGUUGGAGAUGGUAUUAAUCCAAUUAUUCUCUUGCAACGCUGAUAUUAUAGCAUUCACUUUACAGCAAACAGGAUGGGGGCAGUCUUUGUGUCACACUGUACUCAUCUGACUCUCAGCACAAAAUGUCCUCAAUUGAUACAGAUACUACUUAAGUAGUUCUUGAGUUUCAAGAAGACUAAAGUCAUUUCUUUUAGCCUUGGCAGAUGAGGGGUUGCCCUGCAAAUUUAAUGAUCCUUCAUGUACUAACAAAUUCACGAUUUAUAUCAAAUAUUGAUAGGCCCGUAAGUAAGGGCUUAGUCAUUUUACCAACUUUUGUAUUCAGCUGGUGUUUCUGAUUAUCAGGUUUUGACGUGUCUGAAAAUCAUAUUUUGGAUACAGUAAGAGAGCAAGGAGCUGCCAGUCCAGGUGUGAAGUAGAUUAGAGAGUGAUCCUUGCAGGUUCACGUCAGUGCUUGCUCUGACUCUACAGCCACACAGUUCCCCGCGGAACCAGGUUUCUCUGUGAUCUGCUCACAGUAUGCGGGUGUUGUUUCUGGGGGACAACCCUAGCACAGGGGACCACAGAAAUUAGGAGUUUGUUCCCUAGCUUUUUGAGGAAUUGACUGGUUCUGCUACUAUGCUGCAGUCCAGUCUUUUAAAAAUAUACUGUUGAAGCAAGUUUGUUUUCUUACAGAUUCAAAAAGUAAUUCUAUCUCUUUUCUAAGGCUCUGGAUGGAAAUGUACGGAACUAAUGUAAGAACAACAGCUGGUACAGGCUGGAAAUUCAGAAUGGGUCAUUUUUUUUUUUACUUAUGCUGUUUACCAUAGAAUGUAAAGAGAGAAGACAUUUCUAGGAAGAGUAUCUGUGAUUAAUAGUAUUUUCUAGUGGGUUCACUGCUAUUCCUAAACAUGAGAG
Fukomys damarensis (Damara mole-rat) is the source of this 2575-nucleotide long non-coding RNA. RefSeq lists it as uncharacterized. Lineage: Eukaryota; Metazoa; Chordata; Mammalia; Rodentia; Bathyergidae. The transcript has 3 exons. The record is from RefSeq and is a predicted model, not a curated record.